RNAcentral lists this ribosomal RNA (253 nucleotides) under uncultured prokaryote. RNAcentral's name for it is "partial 16S ribosomal RNA". It matches the Rfam family "Bacterial small subunit ribosomal RNA", at positions 524 to 776 of the family's 1533-position model. The record is from RNAcentral.
UACGAAGGGGGCGAGCGUUGUUCGGAUUUACUGGGCGUAAAGGGCGCGCAGGCGGCGGACCAAGUCAGGCGUGAAAGCCCCGGGCUCAACCUGGGAGGUGCGUCUGGGACUGGUAUGCUAGAGUUCGGGAGAGGAGCGUGGAAUUCCCAGUGUAGAGGUGAAAUUCGUAGAUAUUGGGAAGAACACCGGUGGCGAAGGCGGCGCUCUGGACCGAGACUGACGCUGAGGCGCGAAAGCGUGGGGAGCAAACAGG